UGAAAUUGACAGGGUGAAGCCUAUUUCCUG
RNAcentral lists this non-coding RNA (30 nucleotides) under Mus musculus (house mouse). Lineage: Eukaryota; Metazoa; Chordata; Mammalia; Rodentia; Muridae. The record is from RNAcentral.